Molecule: long non-coding RNA, 37371 nt
Filed under: Hordeum vulgare
Lineage: Eukaryota; Viridiplantae; Streptophyta; Magnoliopsida; Poales; Poaceae
Description: long non-coding RNA (HVUL_LNC011572)
Source: RNAcentral
AGAGAGAGAGGGUACCUCCCGGUGGAUGAAAGGUGGCGCGGCGGAGCAGUUAGGGGUCGGCUCCGGCUAGCGGAUGGGGAGGGGCGGCGGCGCUGAUGGGAGGGGCGGCGGAGCCGAUGGGAGGGCCAGCUCGGGCUAGCGUACGGGGAGGGGCGGCGACGACGACGGGGGGCGCGGCACGGAGGAGCAGGCGGUGACGCUGGGAGCAGGGCGGCGCGGAGGAGCAGGCGGCGACGCAGGGCGCAGGGAGGCGCAGAGUAACAGGCGGCGACGCUGGGAGCAGGGCGGCGCAGAGGAGAAGGCGGCAGCGCUGGGAGCAGGGCGUCACGGAGGAGCGGGGGCGGCCGGGGAGCAGGGCGGCGUGGGCAUUGGGUAAGAACAUGGUGAGGGCGGCGGUGGGGCGGCGCGGAGGAGGGCAGCACGGAGGUGCAGACGGCUCGGGGAGGAGCACACGGCGCACAGGACGCGCUCUGUUUUGGGGGAUUUGUGAAAAGGGAGCCUUUGACGGUCAAUUUUUAUCUCCGCGCGUCAAAUUUGGAUUUUGGCGGUCUUUUUUCAUCUACGCGCUCUAUUUUUUGUAAGAUCCGCGCACACGGUAAACCGGGUGUUAUAGAAUAAGCCGAGUAUUGAUUACACGGCUGACCCUUUUUUUUUCUACACAAAAAGUUCAUCACUUUACUUUUCAAAUUCUGUCCGUUUUAUUUUGUUGUAUUUUUAUUAUACUUGUUCUUUUAUUAUAUUUUAAUUUCAUUGUCUUUAUGUUUUUGGGAUUCACCCAUCCGUAGGGUCAACACGAUCUAUGUCUUCAAUUUGACCGGACUCGAGAGAGGUUUGACCGUAGAUUAUCCUUGUGAUGUAUUAGCGACAUGUGUCUCCCUUGUGCAGAAAAGGAAGGGGCAGUUCCAGCCACGAGGAAGCGCAAUUACUUCGGCGGCAUGCAUGACUCGUCCAACCGUUUAAAUCAACGGGAAAUCGUAUGAUACCGAAAAUCCACGGGAUCUGGCAUAUGGCAUAAUCACAUGGCACCUAUAGGGUGUGGUAAAAGUUUGGGGGCAUUUCGAAUAGGCCUCACCUCAGGUCGCUGGUAAAAUGCACCAUCUUUCAUGUAGUCUCUCGGUAUCGAGAGGGAAAGUGUCGGAUUUGUGAAGGAAAUGUUGGUCGUGCUGCUCGGUUGGCCUCGAAACUUUCCGUGCUCUUAGGCAAGUCCAUUGAAUGACAUGUGUCAGGCCCCCGCAUUAUUUUGACCCGCCUACAAUAUUUGAGACAUUUAUUGCACUUCUAGGGUUUCAGCGUCGGAAAUUGCAAAUCUGCAAGGCGACACAUGAAAUCAUGCCCAGGAGCAGCAUGGAAAAUCCUAUGUGAUGUAUUUGUGACAUGUGUAUGCCUUAUGCAGGCGUGGGAGGGGCAGCCCCAGACAUCGCGGGUACGAAAUCACCUGGGUGACAUGCCUCAUCCAACCGUUUGAAGCCUCGGAAAAUGGUACGAUGCCAGAAAUCCUCAGGAUCAGGCACGACGUCAUCACAUGGCCCCUGUAGGGUGUCGUAAAAGUUUGGGCGCAUUCCAGAUGGGCCUUGCCCGAGGCCGCUUGUAAACUGCACCAUCUUCGAGGUAGUCUCUUGGCAUCGAGAGGGAACGUGUCACGUUUGUGAAGGAAGUGUUGGUCAUGUUGCUCCGUUGGUAUCGAAACUCCCCGUGCUCUCAAAGGAGGCCAUCGAAUGACACGUGUCAGGCGCCCGCAUUUUUCUGACCCGCCUACAAUAUUUGAGAUAUUUAUUGCAUUUCUAUGGUUUUGAGCGUCGAAAAUUGCAGAUCUGCAAGGCGACACAUGAAACCAUGCCCAUAAGCAGCAUGGAAAAUCCUAUGUGAUGUAUUUGUGACAUGGGUAUGCCUUGUGCAGGCGUGGGAGGGGCGCCCCACACAUCGGGGAUACGAAAUCACCUGGGCGACAUACCUCAUCCAACCGUUUGAAGCCUCGGAAAAUGGUAUGAUGCCAGAAAUCCUCAGGAUCAGGCACGACGUCAUCACAUGGCCCCUGUAGGGUGCCCUAAAAGUUUGGGCGCGUUCCGGGUGGGCCUUGCCCGAGGCCGCUUGUAAACUGCACCAUCUUCGAGGUAUUCUCUUGGUAUCGAGAGGGAACGUGUCAGGUUUGUGAAGAAAGUGUUGGUCAAGUUGCUCCGUUGGCAUCGAAACUCCUCGUGCCCUCAAAGGAGGCCAUCGAAUGACACGUGUCAGGCCCCCGUAUUUUUCUGACCCGCCUACAAUAUUUAUGGCAUUUAUUGCAUUUCUAGGGUCUCAGCGCGGAAAUUGCAGAUCUACAAGGCGACACAUGAAACCAUGCCCAGAAGCGGCAUGGAAAAUGCUAUGUGAUGUAUUAGCGACAUACAUCUCCCCUUUUCACACGAGGGACGGGCAAUUCCGGCCAUCAGGGGGCGAAAUUACUUCGACGGCAUGACUCGUCCAACCGUUUUAAUCCACGGAAAAUCGUAUGAUACCAGAAAUCCACGGGAUCUAGCACGACGUCAUCACAUGGCCCCUGUAGGGUGUGGUAAAAUUUUGUCCAAUAGGCCUCACAUGAGGUCGCUUGUAAAACGCACCAUCUUAGUCUCUCGGCAUCGAGAGGGAAGGUGUCGGGUUUGUGAAGGAAGUGCUGGUCUUGCUGCUCCGUUGGCCUCGAAACUUUCCAUGCUCUUAGGCGAGGCCAUUGAAUGACACGUGUCAGCCCCCCGCAUUAUUCUGACCCGCCUACAAUAUUUGAGACAUUUAUUGCAUACUUCUAGGGUUUCAGUGUCGGAAAUUGCAGAUCUGCAAGACGACACAUGAAAUCAUGCCCAGAAGAAGCAUGGAAAAUCCUAUGUGAUGUAUUUGUGACAUGGGUAUGCCUUGUGUAGGCAUGGGAGGAGCAGCCCCAGCCAUCGGGGGUACGAAAUCACUUGGGCGACCUGCCUCGUCCUACCGUUUGAAGCCUCGGAAAAUGGUACGAUGCCAGAAAUCCUCAGGAUCAGGCACGACGUCAUCACAUGGCCCCUGUAGGGUGUCAUAAAAUUUUAGGCGCGUUCCGGGUGGGCCUUGCCUGAGGCCGCUUGUAAACUGCACCAUCUUCGAGGUAGUCUCUUGGUAUCGAGAGGAAACGUGUCACGUUUGUGAAGGAAGUGUUGGUCAUGUUGCUCCGUUGGCAUCGAAACUCCUCGUGCUCUCAAAGGAGGCCAUCAAAUGUGACAUGUGUGAGGCCCCCACAUUUUUCUAACCCGCCUACAAGAUUUGAGGCAUUUAUUGCAUUUCUAGGGUUUUCGGUGAUCUUUCUACCCUCCCUCGCACGAUUUUCGAUGAUGCACCAGACCUAGAGCCCACACGGUCUAUAGUCGACAUGAGAGACAUUCCUGUGGUAAAAUGAAUAAAUAAAUAACAUUCAAGUAUUAAAGAUAAAUGCAAGGGAAAUCACUUUAGAACUUUUUUCAAUUUGAAAAUCUAUAAAAUUUAAACCGAGUGCUUUUGCGGAACACACGGCUUAUAGUGUGUGUAAGCCGUGUCCACUUGCCAAGCACACAGCUUAUAGUGUGUGUAAGCCGUGUGUACUUGUUAAGCACACGGCUUAUAGCUCAAGCCGUGACGGCGCCGUCAGGCACCGCUGUUGUAGACACGUGGCAGAUACCUUUACCGGGUGGCGCGCUAUAAACCGAGUGCUUUCUUCAUAUAUACCGUGUGGCACCUAUAAGCCGAGAGCUUUUUGUGGGCACUCAGCUUAUAGGAUAGCAUAAGCCGAGUGCAUUGUUGUUAUCGGGUGUUUUUCCGUGUGUGCACGGCUUAGAUUCAGAUAAGUCGAGUAUCCGAAAAAAAAACACGACUUAUAGCUUGCCACACGGUAAAACAGUUGCUAGAUGCCACUCACUCUGAUUUAAAAAACUUGCUCGCAUCUAGCAACUGAACAGUGAAUAUAUAUUUUACAUGAGUUUAUUUUAAAUUUUUUAUAUUAAUAUAUGUUUAUAUGGUCACUUUUGUAGACCAGGGAUAAAAACCGACGGCUUUGGAUGAUGCUCUCAAAAUGUUGAUUUGAUAAAAUCAUUGGCAAAACUAUUUUUCUUUUGAAUUUUCAACCUUGAAUUAUCAUGUAUAGGGGCUUUCAAAUGCCCAAAUGAGUAGCAUGCACAAACGGGGGUGCAAGGCAACGAGAGAAGAACUGGAGGGAAAAUAGACUAGGCGAGCAGAGAGCAAGCAAAGCAAGCCAACAAAGCAUCAGCUUUAGGGCGGCAGUCGCUCGAAAAAGGAGCCACGCGAAGAAACGAACCCAACUGAGGGCAUAAUUGUGCUGGGCAAAGUCAAGAAAGGGCACAAUCACACCACGAAAGUGGCCGAACUUGUAGACCCUGGCCGAGAAGAUCACCAUACCCUUGGCGCAGCCAAGGCGGAGAGCCCUCUCAUCGGGGCAGCCCGUAAGGGUCACCGCGCAGACACUGGGCAUGAGGACCCGUUGCUUGUGAGCCCCGGCAUGGUUCAUGCAAGACACGCACCCCGUUGAGCCCAUGCUAGACCACGUGGGCGACCUAGACCUCCGGAACCGUGGCGUGGGAGAAGAGCGAGCUUAUUCGCAUGAACAACGCACCGCCGGGGAGCAAAGAUUCCAUCAAAAAUGUUGUAGUGCAUCCGUGCCCGUGGAGAUAUAUGAGAUCGACCUGCACACUGGUAGCAGUGCAACGAGACACACCGAGUGUGGGCCGGUCAUCGACAACGCCUCAGCACGGUUCAACAAUGGCCGGCCCAACUCAAAUCACACCUAGCGCGCUUACGAAAAAUCUUGGCGGGAGUGAAGGCGAUGGAGACGCUUCAUGUGAGGAGGCAUCGGUUUUGCACCGACAGAGCGUGUACCCCCAGCCCCACCCCCCUCUUCCUGGGGAUGUACCACAUGGUCUCAAGCCACCAUCCAAAGGAAGGAGCGGUGCAAGACGUCGAUCGCCUAGAUAAACGACAGAGGGAGCUCCAUCACCGCCAUGUCAUAGGUGGGAAGCGCAUCAAGCACGUUAUUGAGCAGUACUAGAGCCCUUCGAAGGAGAGAAGCUGCCCACGCUAGCUAGAGAGAUAGCAUUCGACCUUGGUGAUGAGUGGGAGGAAGUCAUCCAUCAUGAAUUUGCGGUUGGAGAGCGGUAGUCGGAGAUAAACUUGAGGGAAACCGCCCACACAGCAAGAUAAACUUGAGGGAAGCCGCCCACACAGCAGCCCAAAACAGCCUGGACGUACCGAGCGGGCUUCGUGGCCCGCUCGUGGACCGCUCGAUCCGAGCCGGCUCGGUCCAGGCCUGACCACAAAAACCGGUCGGUCCGGUCCCUCAAAACAAGACCGAAAUUUGCUCGGUCCGGUCUGGUUAAAGCCCGGUCCGACUGAGCGGACCGAACAGCUCACCGGCGGCAUGGCGAGGCAUGGCGGGGGCGUGCUGGAGGCAUGACGGGGGCGUGCUGGAGGAGUGCCGGGGGCGUGCUGGAGGUGUGGCGGCUCAGGCGUGGCGGGGGAGACGUGCUAUGCCGCCGUCGCCGCCGUCCAGAGCACGAGAUGGAGGAGGACGUGGCCACUGUCCUCUCCAGGACGAACCACCAUGUCCAGGAGCUUCGCAAGCAUCGGAUCUCCUCCCCUCCGUAACAAAUCGAUGGGAUUCGUCACGAAUCAGUCGGGAUCUUGCUUCAUCUCCAGCUCCAGCCGUCGCCGUUCGUCGUCGAUUCCGUCGCCGUCGUUGCUUCUCCGGCCUCCCCGACCUCGGUAUCGAGCUCUACAUGAGUGCCCGCACCUAUUUCCUCUGUCUCCGCUUCCGAUUACGACCUAGAGCCUUCGAUAGCCGAUGCCAUGGUCACCACCUCGCCGCCGGUGAGCUGUUGGCCGGUCCGCCGGUCCGGCCCGGGCUUUUGCCUCGUCGAUGCGGUCCCUGAAAAGAGGACCGCCAGCCUGCUCGGUCCGGUCCGGACCGGACCGCCCAAAACAUGGACCAUGUCAUCCAGCCUGCCAUCUUGAACAUGCAUGGGCACGCUGGUGCUCUUGUCAAAGUUAAUGACCAACCCCCUCGCCGUCUCGAAGUCAUCUAGAAUGGUUUUCAUGCGCCGCACAAGUUCAGCCCGCAAGAGGAUGAUGGUGUGGUCGGCAUACUGGAGAACCAGUGUCGGCACCCAUCCACGACUGGGUACUACAUCCCCCCGUCGAGUUGGAUCAUCCGUUGGAGCACAUCCGCCAUCAAGAAGAUGUAGGGGGGAAGGGGUUCCCAUUGCCGUAGCUCCGGUUUGCAUUUAAUCCACUUCACAAGGAUGCCAUUGAGAACCACCCUAGACAUGGACGACUGAAAGAUCGAGGCCAUCCGAUCUAGUCGCACCAGAGUGGNNNNNNNNNNNNNNNNNNNNNNNNNNNNNNNNNNNNNNNNNNNNNNNNNNNNNNNNNNNNNNNNNNNNNNNNNNNNNNNNNNNNNNNNNNNNNNNNNNACUGCGUCACUUGAUGGAGUCGAAGGCCUUGGCGAAAUCCAACUUGACGACCCAGGAGGGAGCCCUCCGGUUCUCACAGCUUGAACUAUCUCUACGACAUAGACAAAGUUCUCUGAGAUGCCCCUCCCACUGAGAAAUCUGGACUCGUCCUGUUCCACCAAGCUCGAUAUUUGUUGCUGCAGACGGGUGGCAAAUGUCUUGCACGCAAUCUUAAUAUCACAUUUCUGGAGCCUUGGGCAAGAGCAUGAUGUGUGCUUUGUUAAUGUAGAGAGGUCAACACGGGAGGAGCGAAAUCCCUCCAAAAUAAUCAGAACAUUGCUCGACACACAUCGCCAAGCCGCCUGCUAGAAUGAGGGGCUGAGCCCAUACGAUCCCGGAGCAUUGGUCCCGUCAAGACCGGAAAUGGUGGCCUCGCCCUCGUCCAGCUGAAAGGCGGCGACUAGCCUAGAACUGUGCACCAUAGUAGUCCUCCCGUACAGCAGGGCCAACAGGUCGAACCGCCGGACCGGUUCUCGGGCCCUGCCUAAAAGGUCGACGUAGAAGGCGUGGAGGUCAUCCACCUUAGCAACGUGGUUGAUGACGCAUUGCCGCCAACGUCCAUGGCUUUGAUCCCGUUGGAUCUGAAGCGCUGGGACGUGUGGGCAUGGAAGAAGCAAGGCGUAACUAUGAUGGCUUGGGCUGCAAACUCAUCAAAUUUUACACAAGCAUUCUUCUUUGUAUAUACUAGACGAUGCCCCGCGCGUUGCUACGGAAAACUUGUUAAAAAAUAUAUGGAUAAAUGUUAGAAAACUAAUGUAAUGCAAAAACGGUUAUAAAAAUGUCUUGCUUAAUUACCUUGAAAAAAAUUCAUGCAUGAAGAUAUGUUUUACAUGAAGAGAUUAAUAAAAAAAUACUCCCUCCGUUUCAAAAUAUAAAACCUUUUAAGAUUACAUUAGGAGACUACAUACGGAGCAAAAUGAGUGAAUCUACAUUUUAAAAUAUGUCUAUGUACAUCCGUAUGUAGUUCAUAGUGCAAUAUCUAAAAGGUCUUAUAUUUAGGAACGGAGGGAGUAACUUAUAAUUACAUGCAUGACUUGAUGAUGUGGCCUUGUUGCAUGGAGAGGAAAACUGGAUAGUGGGUUCUAGCUAUUUAAGAAUAGAAGAAUAUAAACUACAUGCAUGACUUGUUGAUGUGACACUGUUGCAUGGAGAGGAAAAAUAAAUUCAUGUAUGAAGAUAUAUUUUGCAUGAAAAAAUAACUUAUAGCUACAUGCAUGAUUUGAUGAUGUGGCAUUGUUGCAUGGAGAGGAAAAUUAAAUAGUGGGUUCUAGCUAUUUAAGGAUAGAAGAAUAAAAACUACAUACAUGACUUGGUGAUGUGGCAUUGUUGCAUGGAGAGGAAAAUUAGGUAGUGGGUUCUAGCUAUUUAAGAAAUUUUUGCAUGAAAAAAUAACUUAUAACUACAUGCAUAAUUUGAUGAUGUGGCAUUGUUGCAUGGAGAGGAAAAUUGAAUAGUGGGCUCUAGCUAUUUAAGGAUAGAAGAAUAAAAACUACAUACAUGACUUGGUGAUGUGGCAUUGUUGCAUGGAGAGGAAAAUUGAAUAGUGGGCUCUAGCUAUUUAAGGAUAGAAGAAUAAAAACUACAUACAUGACUUGGUGAUGUGGCAUUGUUGCAUGGAGAGGAAAAUUAGGUAGUGGGUUCUAGCUAUUUAAGAAUAGAAGAUAUGUUGCACAUGAUAAUACAAAAGAUUUAUUUUUUAUAUAUGUUUACUUUUACAAAAUAUGCCAACGUUCAAAAGAAACCAUGGACAAGGGUCCUGCAGCAAUGUCUUUCGAAGAGACAGAAGCUCCAACAAAUAUCUCUACGUUGGUAGCCGGUGUUCAUCGGGUUUUUUCGUCUCCACUCCCAGCGUUCGUUUGGUCUUUUUUCUUCUCUCCUUCCACUGGUUUAUUUCCGCCUCAUCCUUUCAUUGAUUUAUUCUGCCAUCCCACCUCUUUCUGUCCUGUAGCCCUGACCCUUUCGAUCUCACCCCCUUCAUCUCUCCCCCUUGGCGACGGCGGCGGCAAUACAUUAGAUCCGUCCCCGCGUGAAAAUGGUCGCCGCGCCGGUGGCGUCCCCCUUCCCCAUGCUCCCCUCGCCCUCCUUCCCCCUCAGCAUGUCACGCGUCGUCUCUCACUGCUCCUCAAUUUCGAUGCGGCGAAGGAUGUCGGGGGGAUGGGGUUCGAGGCCAUCCGACGGCGCAACCGCAUGCUGCCCUUCAUCCUGGGGCGGAGACAGGUCAUGUUCGGCAUCACCAACACCUCUAUUUGGCCUAUCUGAGUGCAGGCUGUAGCAGAGGGCACCCUUUGCCUCCGUCAAGGAAAUCCUCCACUUCUAUGUCAAUUUCUUAUAAGGAGUCCCCUUCUAUGUCAUUGUUUCUCUAUCCGUGCAACCCCCAUGAUCAUGAGAUCUCCCGCCUGUGACCCAUGUUGCAAAGGCAAAAUUGAUGGUAUGCUAUUGUACCUCCUUCCCUCUCCUCUCUAUCUCAAAUGCUUAUGUUGUGAUUUUUUUUUUUGAAUUUUGUUCUUCAGCCACGAUCUUGCAUAUAAGUGUCUUGAUUGUAAGUACAAGUGCAUGUUACUUAGUAGAUGUUCAGAUUUUAUUUGAGAAUGAUUGUUUAUGGGAUUGUGUCUUCAUCUGACAACCCAUUUCCUCUUUCAUCACAGCCGAGGUUAAUUUUCAACUUUCUGACCUGCUGACGGGGUCGGUUCCUGUGCACAGGCAAGGAGUGUGGCGUGGACAUCAUGGGAAGCAAAGGAAUCAAGAUAUGCCCUGGGUGUGGGGUCAUCAGAUGGUAUUCUGUUGAAUCUUUUGCGCAGGUGAGUUCGUACUACAUGUCAGUACUGCAAAAAAGUUAUACUUGUCUCCUGUGUUAUUUUCAUGUUCCUAUGUUUACUUCCAGGUGACUUCAUAUGUUUAUAUGUUUUUCUCCUCUCCUGCGUAUAUACAGAAGUGGUUCUAGAGUUUAUAUUCUGGAUGGAACAAUGCCAAGGAGCUUAUUCCUACAACCCACAUGCAAGCAAAGCAUGCAUGUCGCUCGCCACGUGGCCUGAUUAGCGAUUCACCACUGAUACACAUAGUAUACUUGUUAGUCAUAUAUGUGUACCGUAGAUUCUUGAUUAUAGUUGGUUAAUAUAUUAAUAGAUUCUUAUUUGGUCAAUCAUUUCCCGUGAUGUUACCGAUGAAAAGAAAAUUACUUGCUGGAAUAAUUAAUAUCGUGGUAGUGGUCUUGCAAUCAAAACAAAGAUUUUCUUUUAGCAAGUAUAGGAUUGUCUUCUCCAUGAACAAAUGCGAGCACCUGGUAAUUUUGUUUAGCACUAUUUUACUUAUUUUUUUAGCAUGGAAGCUUCCGACAAAAGAUGGCGAGCACGAGCAUGUGUUUUUCCCUUGUGCGAAUUGCCAACAGAGAUGACCAACUGGUGUCGGGAGGUCAUUCUUGCUUGAUUUGGGCACUGAUGGUUUUCACAUCUUCACAUCGAAACCAUCAACGAUGAUGAUCCAGUGAACUCAGCUACAUCGGGUUGAGUUAAGUGCCUUUUCCCCUUGUGUGAGUUGUUAACAGAGAUGACCAGGUGGUAUUGGGUGGUCAUCACUACUAGAAAAAAGCUGCUAGUGGCGCACCUAUUUUGGCUAUUAAUGGCAUACUAUAGGUGCGUCAUUAUUAUCACGCCACUACUAAUAAAUAGUAAUGACGCAUCCCUGGUGCACCACUGUUAAUAUACAUAAUAGUGACGCACCACCUUGUGAGCCAUUACUAUCCCAGACACUAAUGGCGCACCACCUGGUGCGCCAUUACUAUCCCGAGACACUAAUGGCGCACCACCUGGUGCGUCACUAAAGUGCAAUUUGGUGCGCCACUACUAUGAAUAUUAGGAUUAUUUUUUUUGCUUUUCUGAUAUUUGCACAGGUUACAAAAUACAUUAUAGCACAGAAUAUAAACAACAAAACAUAUAAACAACAGAUUUAUCGAAUACAAUAGAAGAUUAGUAUCGGAAUACAAUUCAUCAUAUUAGUCUCCAAAUUCAAAAUAACGAACGAAGUUAGAAAAUUACAAGUCUCGAGACCGCGAGUAGCGAGUUUGUUUUCACAUUACAAGUCGAUAUCUAAACUACCAUCACAUAGAAGAGGGUUGCGGUCAUGAUGAGCAUCAUCGCGAUGAAACUGAUCUUCAUCCGGUUCCUCCUCUGCUCCCUCCUCUCUCCCGCUAGAUAGUGCGCGUAUCUAGCUUCCGCCUCCGCCCUAGUGGUGUACCCUUUGUAACCGUUACCACUGAAACGGUGAACCUGUCUCCGACACUCCUCCCAGUCUUCGUAGACUCCGGGAACCUCACUCUUGUACACGACAUACGACGGCAUCUCUGUGCACUAGACAAACAAAACGUUAGUAGCAAUUCACAGAUAAUAUAUAAGCAAAAGGAUCGGAAAAGAAAAGCAACACAUUAAUAGCACGAUUCAUGGUCCUACUAAUAAAUAGCAUCGACUACACAUAUAAGUUGAACGACUGUCCAAACUAAAGAGACAUACAAGUUCAUUAAAGUUUAAUUACAACAUAGCAUCAGUACUUUCGACUUGACUCAAGGACCGGAGCGUGGAUGAAGGCGUCGUCUUUCGUGAUGGUCAUGAAUGUGCGGUCGUUGUCAGCCUGCAUUUGUAGCGUUGUGUCAAUUUCACUGUUGGACGGUUGACAGUUUAGGUAGAACUGCCCCGAUCUAGGAAGGACAUCUUGAUAGAUGAUUUCCGCCAACUACGACUGGAUGCGAAAGAAUUAUUGUCUGAUGUCCUCAUCCUGGAUUGCCGACAAGCGUGCGGCCCAUUCUUUGAGAUCAUUUGGUAGCAUACAGUGAUGUUGGUCCCGUACGAUCGCCCGCAUGUGAUGCAGGGCGUAGCAGGCAUCCUUCUGACUGCCAGGUGGCUGCUUGACGCAGGGGAACGUCGUUACGUGGGUGAACACGUGCUUGCCAUACCUAAGAAUUGGCCUCCUGAAGGUGCCUCCAGAUUUGGCGUAGCCGGGGAGGACAUCAUCAAGAACUUUCUUGAUAUCUGUGUAGUGUUUCUUCGACUGACGGUCUGAGUUGAAAUACGUGGCCAUGGAAUAUUUCGGGCUUAAGAGGAUGAGUGUGCAAUGUGUGUCACUGCACAAAACACCGAAUGUUAGAGAAAAAAAAGAACGAUCAAAAUCUCAGAAAUCAUAUGUUACGGGGCGAUGAGGGGAUGACUUACUCAGAAAAGUAAGGCACGAGGAAGUUAUCCUUAUCUGCGUUCACCAGAAUGAUGCCUUCGAGGUAUGAACGCAGAUAAGUCGGUACCAUCGGCCUACCCGCCACAUGCACCCUCCUCUCAAUAUCCUUAGAUAUUGGUGGCCCGUCCUGAGCACGGAUCGUACUCGGUGUCGGCUGGCUCGCACCCUUGUUAGUUUUUCUUUUCUGUCCCUUAUGCUUCUUCUGCUGUAAUGGGAUCGAGUUCUGCUCAGAGACCACCUUCUUGAGUGUGUUGGGGCUGAUAAUAUUUUGCACCUCGGCUAUUUGAGUCUCGGUGAAGGCGGGAUUUGGAGGCGUCUCCUGAGAACUGAAUAGACGAUGCCUGUUGAAAUUGGGUUUCUCCGCGGUACCAACUAGAUCGUGAUAUGUCUCCGUCGUAUCUACUUUUCCGAACUCUUUUGCCUUUGUUUUGGACUCUAACUUGCAUGAUUUGAAUGGAACUAACCCGGACUACCGUUGUUUUCAGCAGAAUUGUCAUGAUGUUGUUUUUGUGCAGAAAUAAAAGCUCUCGGAAUGUCCUGAAAAUUUACGGAGAUUUUUUCUGGAAUAAAAGAAAAAUACCUGCGCAAAGAUCCACCGGAGGGGGCGUGCGAGUGGGCCACAAGCCCACAGGCCGCGGCCACCCCCCUAGGUCGCGCCGUGAGGGCUUGUGGGGCACACGUGGCACCACCGACCCCAAACUCAGCUCUAUUUAUUUCGUCUCGCCCGGAAAAAAUCAGAGAGAAGGUUUCAUCGCGUUUUACGAUACGGAGGCUCCGCCACCUCGUGUUCUUCAUCUGGAGGGCAGAUGUGGAGUCCGUUCUGGGCUCCGGAGAGGGGAAAUCGUCGCCAUCGUCAUCAUCAACCUUCCUCCAUGGAAAAUUCCAUGAUGCUCUUCACCGUUCGUGAGUAAUCUCAUCGUAGGCUUGUUGGACAGUGAUGAGUUGGAUGAGAUCUAUCAUGUAAUCGAGUUAGUUUUGAUGGGGAUUGAUCCCUAGUAUCCACUAUGUUCUAGAUUGAUGUUGCUACUACUUGACUAUGCUUAAUGCUUGUCACUAGGGCCCGAGUGCCAUGAUGUCAGAUCUGAACCUAUUAUGUUAUCGCCACUAUAUAUGUGUUUUAGAUCCUAUCUGGCAAGUUGUAGUCACCUACUAUGUGUUAUGACCCGGCAACCCCGUAGUGACAAUAGCCGGAACUACUCCCGGAGAUGACCAUAGUAUGAGGAGUCAUGUAUUCACCACGUGUUAAUGUGUUGGUGCGGUUCUUUAUUAAAAGGAGAACCUUAAUAUCCCGUAGUUUCUAUUAGGACCCCACUGCCACGGGAGGGAUGGACAAUAGAUGUCAUGCAAGUUCUUUUCCCUAAGCACGUAUGACUACAUAUGGAAUACAUGCCUACAUUAGAUUGAGGAACGUGAGCUAGUUACUUAUCUCUCUGUGUUAUAGCUGUUACAUGAUGAAUCACAUCCGUCAUACCCAUCCAUCACCGAUCCACUGCCUACGAGUAUUUUACUACUGGUCCUUACUACGUUACUUUGUCUAGGCUUGUCCCUUGCUACAAAAGGGAUUGGGCCACUUUGCUGCUACUACUGUUGCUAUUGUUGUUACUCUGCUGCUACAACUGUUCCUUGCUACUUCCCUGUUACUUGUUGCAAGACCUUUUUCGACACCGUUGACGGGAAAGAAUAGGUCCUCGCCCACGUGCAACACUGGCGCCAUUAAUACAACAGUUAGGAAUAGUCUGCCAUCAACAAUUCUUUUUCUGACACCGUUGCUAUCAUACUACUUUGCUACUGAUACUUUGCUUGCAGACACUAAUCUUUCAGGUGUGGUUGAAUCAUACAAACUCAGCUGCUAAUACUUGAGAAUAUUAUUUUGCUUCCCCUUUGGCGAAUUAACUAAUUUGGGUCGAAUACUCUACCCUCAAAAACUGUUUUGAUCCCCUAUACUCGAGGGUCAUCAAGACCUUUUUCUGGUUCCGUUGCCGGGGAAGCACAACUAUAUUCUCUGAGUCACUUGGGAUUGACGUCUGCUGAUCACUAUGAGGAAUCUGAAAGAUCCAAGAACUAAAAUCUUGCCUUCCACUACGAGGAGAGGUAAGGAACUGCCAUCUAGCUCUGCACUUGAUUCACCUUCAGUUUUGAGUAAGUUUGCGACAUCGCCUCCUGCUAGAUAUCUUGAUAUGUCGCCUGUGCUUGAUGAUGCUACUUCUGCUGCCCAUGAUGCUUAUGAUGAUACUAUGUCUGAUGAUGAUAUGCCUCAUACUGCUUUGCCUUAUGAUGCUACUACUGCUUUGCCUGAUGAUGCUAUGCCUGAUACUGCUUUCCCACUAGGUGCAUUCCUUGAUGCACAACUUGCUAGAGUUGCUGCUAGACAUGAUGAUACUUCUGAAACUAUUGAUACUAUUGAAGUAGAACCUGUUACUAUGUCUGAAUUGUCUGUUAUGCCUGAACGCUAUGUUAUGGAGGGAGAGAUAGCCGAGGAUUUUCUUGCGUGUAAGGAUACCUAUGAUGUUGAGAAACUACUGCGUAAGUGGAAAGAAAAAUCUUUGAACGCUAGGAUGAAAUACGACCCGAAGUUUGCUACUUCGCCUAUCUUUGUGACCGAUAAGGAUUAUGAAUUCUCUGUCGACCCUGAGUUAAUCACUCUGGUCGAAUCUGAUCCUUUUCACGGUUAUGAGUCUGAAAUGGUUGUAGCCCAUCUUACCAAACUGCACGAUAUAGCCACCCUAUUCACUAGUGAAGAAAAGAUCCGCCACUACUAUAUCCUCAAGCUGUUUCCUUUCUCGCUAAAGGAUGAUGCUAAGAUGUGGUUCACUUCUCUUGCUCCUGGUUGUGUGCAUAGCCCCCAGGAUAUGGUCUACUACUUCUGUGAAAAAUAUUUCCCUGCCCAUAAGAAGCAAGCUGCCUUGCGGGAAAUAUACAACUUUGCUCAAGCUGAAGAAGAGAGUCUCCCACAAACUUGGGGGAGGCUCAUCCAGCUACUGAAUGCUUUGCCUGAUAACCCUCUUGAGAAGAAUGAAAUACUUGAUAUCUUCUAUAAUGGGCUUACUAAUGCUUCCAAAGACCACCUAGAUAGUUGUGAUGGUUGUGUUUUUAGGGAACGAACUGUAGAACAAGCUGAGAUUCUACUGAAUAACAUCUUGUGCAAUGAGAAUGCUUGGACUAUUCCCGAACCACCUCCUAAGCCAACUCCGAAGAAAAGAGGUAUUCUAUUCCUCAGUCUUGAAGAUAUGCAAGAAGCCAAGAAAUCUAUGCGAGAGAAAGGCAUUCAAUCUGAAGAUGUCAAAAAUCUACCACCUAUCGAAGAGAUCCAUGGUCUCGAUAACCCGAUACAGGUAGUAGAAGUAAAUUCUUUGCGUAGGUUUGAUGAGAGUGAUAUUCCUUUUGAUAAACCUGCUAGAUUAUGCAUGGAUGAAUUUGAUAACUUUGUUUCCAAACAACAGAGUUUCAAUGAUUAUGUUAGCAGACAAUUGGAACAUAAUGCUCGUAUGCUUAGUCAUUUAAGUGCUUGUGUGGACAGAAAUGUCAAUGAUAUUAAGCUUCUAAGUAAACAUGCCUCUAUGGUUACUACUCAAGUAGAACAAGUACUUAAAGCUCAAAAUUACUUGCUCAAUGAGUUGAAUGACAAUUCUGUCAGAGUCGUUACUAGAGGCGGUAGAAUGACCCAGGAACCUUUGUAUCCUGAGGGUCAUUCGAAGAGAGUUGAACAAGAUUCUCAAGGAGUUAGCACUGAUGCACCCAGUCAUCCUAGAAAGAAGAAGAAAGAUGAUAGGUACAUGCCUGUUGCUGCUACCCCUGAGAGUCCAAACGAUGCCUCUGUCUCUGAUGCUGAAACACAAUCUCGUGAUGAACAUGAGCCUAGUGAUAAUAUCAAUAGUGAUGUUCAUGAUGAUGCUCAACCUAGCAAUGAUAAGGAUGUGGAGAUUGAGCCUGCUGAUCUUGAUAACCCACAGCCUAAGAAUAUAAGAUACGAUAAGAAUGACUUCGCUGCUAGGAAGCACGGUAAAGAAAGGGAACCAUGGGUUCAGAAACCCAUGCCCUUUCCUCCCAAACCAUCCAAGAAAAAGGAUGAUGAGGAUUUUGAGCGAUUCGUCGAAAUGAUCAGACCUGUCUUUAUACAAAUGCGUCUGAUAGAUAUGCUCAAAAUGUCUCCGUAUGCUAAGUACAUGAAAGAUAUUGUGACUAAUAAGAGGAGGAUACCUGAGGUUGAGAUUUCCACCAUGCUUGCUAAUUAUACCUUCAAGGGUGGAACUCCUAAGAAACUAGGUGAUCCCGGUGUGCCCACUAUACCUUGCUCCAUUAAAGGUAACUACAUUACAACUGCGUUAUGCGACCUUGGAGCCAGUGUUAGUGUUAUGGCUCUCUCUCUUUAUUGUAGACUUGAACUGGAUAAGUUGACACCCGCUGAAAUCUCUCUGCAAAUUGUCGACAAAUCAACUGCUUUCCCUAUCGGCAUUUGCGAGGAUGUGCCUGUUGUGGUUGCUAAUGUCACUAUCUUAACAGACUUUGUUAUCUUGGAUAUUCCCGAGGACGAUGCCAUGGCGGUCAUCCUCGGAAGACCCUUUUUAAACACUGCAGGGGCUGUUAUAGAUUGCAACAAAGGCAAUGUCACUUUCCAUGUCAAGGGUAAUGAGCAUACGGUGCACUUUCCGAAGAAACAAUAUCGAGUACAUUGUAUCAAUGCUAUCAAAAAACUUCAUCGAUUCUUAUUGGGAGCUUUGAAUGCCCUAUACCUCGUGUCAAGAUGAAGUACGAUUUGCUUGUCGGGGAAAUACACAUCCCCAUUGAGGUAACCUAGUGACUAUUCAAAAAUUCUCCAUUCUCUUUUGCGAUUCGAAAAGGUUUGUCAAAGAGGCUUGAUCAACCUCACUGACGGAUUUCUUUCGAUGACCAUGAGAUGGAUGAAUCGAGGAGUCACAAACCUUUGUUCCGAGCUUUCACUUUAGGUUGCUUAGAAGAAAAAUGAUAGGUUUAGUUUAGUUUUCCCUGUUUUCUGUUUUAGCGUCCGGUAGAAUAGUACCCCGAAAAUAAAAGUUCUCCGAACGUCCUGAAAAUCAAGUAUGAUUUGUUCUGGAUUUUUUGAAAAAUUCUGAGACAAAGAGCUUGUCUGGGGGCCACACCAGUGGGCCACAAGCCCUUGGGGCGCGGGCACCCCCUGGCCGCGACACCCAGGCUUGUGGGGCUCACAUGCGCCCCCUCCACUCAUUCUUGCUCUCAUAUGGUUCUCCUACCUCUAGAAAAAAUCGUUUCGCAGCUCAAACCCGUAUUCUUGCUCCUCUUGCUGGGAUUUUCGAUCUCUUUGCUCAAAUCACCGUUCUCCGAACUAUUUUGGGGAAAUUACUCCUUGGUAAGUGACUCCUCCAUUGGUCCAAUUAGUUUUUUGCUCUAGUGCCUUAUACUCCGCGUAUUUUUGCUGGCUUGGUGACCAUGUUCUUGAGCUUUGCAUGCUGAUUUUAGCUGGUCCCAAGUAGUUUUGAUGCGUAAUAUGGCCUCUAGGCACUUGAGGGAGUAGUUGCUAUGAGUUUCGUUGAGCCUUGUUCACUCUUCCUUAGAAUCACUAAAAAUUUCAGAAGUUUUCAUAGAUAGAAAAGGGAAAAGAUGAGGAGGUUCUUAAGAGGCUCUUCAAGCCGUGACCCCAAGGAUGAUGGGACUAAGAAGAAGCCCAAGUAUCUAGUCCCUCGAGUCGCAGAAUUUCGAACGUGCGAGUGGCCAAGCGACGUGUUGUUACGUGCCGCUGGAAUUUAUGAGGACUUUUAUCACUUGGUCGAAAACGCAGGCCUUACCGCCUUCUUUGAAGAUAAGUGUCCGCAAUACAUCCUCCUCACUAAUAUCUUUGUACAAAGUUUUAACUUCUAUCCAAGGAAGAAUCCUCCUAUGGUUGAGUUCAAACUUUAUGAUAGCCCCCAGCGCAUGUCACUCCAAGAUUUUUGCAAUGUUUGCAAAUUACCUUACGUUGGGGAUAUUCAUGAACCUCGUCCACGGGACUUGGAAGCUUUCAUCGGUACAAUUGCUGUAGGAGAGGAGAGAGAAGUGUCUUGCACUAGAGCUGCUAGCAUUCAUUUUACCGUGCUUCGGUACUUCUCAUUAUUUGUGGGAAAAUGUUUGAUUGGCCAUGGGAAAGCUGGGUCACUUAGUUCCCCAGAUCUUGCGGUCUUGCGCGAAGCCAUAUAUAACGAUAAAACGUAUAGCUUGGGCGCUAUAGUAGCUCAACGGUUGAACCUGAACCGUUCUAAAGGUGUUGUCUAUGGAGGUAUCUAUGCUACCCAUCUUGCCAGACACUUUGAGAUGCACAGUAGACUGGAGGAGGAAGAAGAGGUUCUUUUUCCUGAGAGAUAUCUAGAUUACGAUAGCAUGGUUCGCCAUGACUUUCUUGAUAGAGAUAUAAAUAGAAUGAUGAUUUAUAACCUGGUAUUUAGUCAGGGUACUCAUGAGACUAUUACUUUGCCUCCUCCUUCUUUGUUCAAUCUUCAUGCAAGCAGGUACAUUAUUAUGCCCUCGGACAUCUACGCAUAUUGGGGCUUAGCCCAACCACACGUGCCCGUGCCCGAGCCACCAGUCGAGUACCAAACGCCGGUUUAUCAGUGGGAACCAGAGGAGCUCACACAGCAGUGGCAUCCUCAGUCCACUUCGGAGUAUCCCGGAGCUGGUUAUUCCCUCCUUGGGAGUAGACCAACUUAGGCCAAAAGCCUAAGCAUGGGGGAGUACGUGUUCUCACCGACUUUACAUUCUUGCUUAUGCUUUCACUUUGUUAGCCGGUGUUCACACUUUGCCAUUGUAUCAUCCAUGUUAGUUUAUUUUCUUUUUCUAGUUUUCUUUUCGUGUGUCUGUCUAGUUUGAGAAAACCCAAAAAGAUUUUCUUUUUCUUAUUUUGCUUGUUGGGAGCUUUCCCGUGUAAAUAGUUUUCUUUUUCUUUGGGUCAAGGUAGAAGAUAUUGGUUACAAUGUUUAGUGCCUCUGGCAUGCAUACCUGUUUAGCUUUCAAAGAGCCAUAUUACUUUGUCUUCUCCUUUGUGUUUGCCUAUAGAUUCCAGCUUUAGUCCAAUGCACGAGCACGCUUAUUAUUGUUCACAUCAUUCGGUGAUGCAAGUGAAAGGCAAUGAUGACGAUAUAUGAUGAAUUGACUGAGCCUGGAAAAGCUGGUAUGAACUCGAUCUAUUUUGUUUUUGUAAAUAUGACUAGCUCAUCAUGCCUGAUUCAGCUUUGUUGUGAGAGAAACAUGUUUGCAAUGUCAACUUAGAGAUCAUAGUUGCUUAUGCCAUUCUUACUUAGCUAGGAGCUUAUAAUGGUUUGUCUUGGAUGCCCGCAUGAAUGUUGAGAUGACUAUGAUGUAGUAUGAUAGGAUGGUAUCCUCCUUUGAAUGAUUCAAGUGGCUUGACUUGGCACAUGUUCACGCAUGUAGUUGAAACAAAAUCAACAUAGCCUCUAUGAUAUUCAUGUUCAUGGUAAUUUAUGUCCUACUCAUGCUUGCACUCAAUGUUAGUUAAUCUCAAUGCAUUUUGAUGACUGUUGUCGCUCUCUAGUUGGUCACUUCCCAGUCUUCUGCUAGCCUUCACUUGUACUAAGCGGGAAUACUACUUGUGCAUCCACCUCCAUAAACCCAAAGUUGUUCCAUAUGAGUCCACCAUACCUACCUAUAUGUGGUAUCUACCUGCCGUUCCAAGUAAAUUUGCAUGUGCCACUCUCUAAACCUUCAAGAAAUAUUCUGUUUUGUAUGCCCGAACCGCUCAUGCGGUGAGAGGGGGCUAUUGGUAUCUUCCAUGCUAGGCGUGUUAUCCUCGAUAUGUGUUUAUUCACUAUCAUUCACGAGAUGUUGGUAUGGACGAUACCCGAGGAUUCGACUAGCCAUGGAGUGUGAUUGAUUGGUGGUGGGGGAGUCAAAACUUUACUUUUCUGUUUGGGAACCUCCUAUAGCAUGUGUAGCAUGGAAGAUGCUGAGAACUCUUGGUAAUUGCGUUGACAAUGAAAGCAUGCCACCCAAAAUUAUUAUCUCUGUUUUCAAAGCUUGAGCUCUGGCACCUCUGCAAAUCAAUGCUUCCCUCUGCGAAGGGCCUGUCUAUUUAUGUUCCUGUUGAGUCAUCCUCCUCUUAUAAAAGCACCAAUUAGAGAGCACCUCUGUCAUUUUUAUGAUUUGCUUUUAACUGUGUUGAGUAUGACUAUGACUGGAUCUUCAUUGCCUUGAAUUACAAUGUUUAGUCAGCCCUUCGUCUUUGAAGGUGCUCUGCAUUUAUGUUUUGCGGUCUCAGAAAGAGCUAGCGAGAUACCACCUGUUCGUACUGCCUCAUGUUGUUUUGAUUGAAGUGUUGACAUUUGAGGCUUAUUAUUAUUUGCUCGCUAGCUGAUUAUGCCUUUGAUAUGAGUUUACCGUGAGAUCUAGAUGUCAUUUGCUUAUGUGGUUUUCUUGUGAUCUUGCUGAAAUUCUGGUUAUGAAUUAGACAUAGUUGCAACAACAAGAUCAAACAGAGUUCGUCAAAGUUUUUCUUUUGUCUCUCUCAGUUUGUCAACUGAGUUGCUUGAGGACAAGCAAGGCUUUAAGCUUGGGGGAGUUGAUACGUCUCCGUCGUAUUUACUUUUCCGAACUCAUUUGCCCUUGCUUUGGACACUAACUUGCAUGAUUUGAAUGGAACUAACCCGGACUAACGCUAUUUUCAGCAGAAUUGCCAUGGUGUUGUUUUUGUGCAGAAAUAAAAGAUCUCGGAAUGUCCUGAAAAUUUACGGAGAAUGUUUCUGGAAUAAAAGAAAAAUACCUGCCCAAAGAUCCACCGGAGGGGGCGUGCCAGUGGGCGACAAGCCCACAGGCCGCGGCUACCCCCUAGGUCGCGCCGUGAGGGCUUGUGGGGCCCACGUGACACCAUCGCCCCAAACUCAGCUCUAUUUAUUCCGUCUCGCCCGGAAAAAACCCAGAGAGAAGGUUUCAUUGCGUUUUACGAUACGGAGGCGCCGCUGCUACGGCAACAAAGACCAUACCCAGCAACGGUGUCAGAGGUCCUUCUGCUGCUGGCUACGCCUACAGGGACUUCCUUGGCAAAUAUGCAAAGGAUUCCCCCGCGGCCUUGGAGCCUUGCGUUGGUGUUCCCUUGAAGAGGAAAGGGUGAUGCAGCACAGAAGGAGUAAGUAUUUCCCUCAGCUUGAGAACCAAGGUAUCGAUCCAGUAGGAGGAUCGCGUCAAGUCACAAGUACGUGCACAAACACAAAGAGCUUGCACCCAACGCUAUGAAGGGGUUGUCAAUCCCUUACAGAUUGUUUGCAAAGUGAGAACUGAAAGCAAAAAGGAAACAAAGCAAAGUAAAAGUAAAAGUGGAGACGAUAGUUGUGAAUAGACACGGGGGCCGUUGUGUUCACUAGUGGCUUCUCUCAUGAAAGCAAGUAGACGAUGGGUGAACGAAUUACUGACGAGCAAUUGAUAGAACCGCGCAAAGUCAUGAAGUUAUCUAUGGCAACGAUCAUAUCUAUAGGCAUCACGUCCAAAACAAGUAGACCGAUACUUUCUGCAUCUACUACUAUUACUCCACACGUCGACCGCUAACCAGCAUGCAUCUAGUGUAUUAAGUUCAUAAGAACAGAGUAACGCCUUAAGCAAGAUGACAUGAUGUAGAUGGACAAUCUCAAAUCUAAGAUGAAAGCCCAUCUUGUUACCCUUGAUGGCAACAACACGAUGCGUGCCUUGCUGCCCCUUCUGUCACUUGGAAAGGUCACCGCACGGUAUGAACCCAAAACCAAGCACUUCUCCCAUUGCAAGAAUCAUAGAUCUAGUUGGCCAAACAAAACACAAGACUCGGAGAGACUUACAAGGACAUCAAAUCAUGCAUAUAAGAAAUCGGCAAAGACUCAAAUAUAAUUCAUAGUUAAUCUGAUCACAAAUCCACAAUUCAUCGGAUCUCGACAAACACACCGCCAAAGAGGAUUACAUCGGAUAGAUCUCCAUGAAGAUCAUGGAGAACUUUGUAUUGAAGAUCCAAGAGAGAGAAAAAGCCAUCUAGCUACUAACUACGGACCCGUAGGUCUGAAGUGGACUACUCACGAGUCAUUGGAGGGGCGAUGAUAUUGAUGUAGAAGCCCUCCAACUCCAAAGUCCCCUCCGGCAGGGCACCGGGAAGGGUCUGCAGAUGAGAUCUUGCAAAAACGGAAGCUUGCGGCGGCGAAAAAGUGUUUUCGUGGACGCCCUGAUUUUUUCUGGGAUUUUAGGGAAUUUAUAGGCCAAAGAGCUAGGGCAGGGGAGCGCCAGGGAGGCAACAAGGCUGGUCGCCGCGGCCCCCCUGGCCACGACAACAGGGCUUGUGGGCUCCCUGUGGGCCUCCUGCCUUGGCCCUCAAGUCCCCUGAUCUUCUUCUGUUCUGGAAAAUUUUAUUUCGGGGAUUUUAUUCCGUUUGGACUCCAUUCCAAAAUCAGAUCUGAAAAGAGUCAAAAACACAGAAAAAACAGGAACUGGCACUUGGCACUGAAUUAAUAAGUUAGUCCCAAAAAAGAUAUAAAAGGUAUAUAAAACAUCGAAAGUUGACAAGAUAACAGCAUGAAACUAUCAAAAAUUAUAGAUACAUUUGAGACGUAUCAAGCAUCCCCAAGCUUAACUCCUACUCGUCCUCGAGUAGGGAAGUGAUAAAGAAUGAAUUUUUGAUGCUUUCAUGCUACCUAGCAUAGAUGUCCUUUGGAACUCCUCUUACAUGACGUGAAUGUUCAGAUCCAUUAGAUUCAAAACAAUAGUUUGCUAUUGAUGUGGAGACAAUAAUACUUCAAGCAAACUAGCAAGGUAAUCAUGAACUUUCAAAAUAACAAGGCCAAAAGAAAGUUAUCCCUACAAAAUCAUAUAGUCUGGCUAUGCUCUAUCAUCCUUGCACAACAAAUUUAAAUCAUGCACAACCUCGGUAUUGGUCAAGUAAUUGUUUUCACACCUUUACUUUCUCAAACUUUUUCAACUCUCACGCAAUAGAUGAGCGUAAGCCAUGGUUUUAGCACUAUAAGUGGAAUGGAGUGUGGUGGAGGUUGCAAGGCAAACAAGGAGAAGAUGGUCACAUCGACUAGGCAUAUUAAUGAGCUAUGGAGAUGCUCAUCAAUAGAUAUCCAUGUGAAUGAGUAGGGAUUGCAAUACAAAUGAUGCACUAGAGCUAAGAGUAUAUGAAAGCUCUUAAAGAAAACUAGUGGGUGUGCAUCCAACUUGCUUGCUCACGAAGACCUAAGGCAAUUUUGAGGAAGCCUAGCAUUGGAAUAUACAAGCCAAGUUAUAUAAUGAAAAUUUCCCAGUAGCUAUAUGGUGGUGACAAAAUGAGAGACUCUCAAUCAUGAAGACCAUGGUGCUUAAUAAGCACAAGAGUGGAAAGAUAGUAGCAUUGUCCCUUCUCUCUUUUUCUCUCAUUUUUUGGUGGGCUCUUUGGCCUCUUUUUUAUUUUAUUUUAUUUUUAUUUUUAUUUUGGUGGGCAUCUUUGGCCUCUUUUUUUGUAAAUGGGCUUGGCUGGCCUCUUUUAUUUCCUCACAUGGGACAAUGCUCCAUAAAUGAUGAUCAUCACACUUACAACUCAAAACUUAGAGCAAUAAUGACUCUAUAUGGAAUGCCUUCGGUAGUGUACCGUGACAAUGAUCUAGCAUGGCAUAGACAUCAAUGGAAACAUCAUGCUAGCUAUCUUAUGAUCAUGCAAUGGCAAUGUAGAAGUGGUGGCACAUGUCAUGGUGGUGGUUGCAUGGAAAUAUAUCUCGGAAUGGCUUUGAAAAAGCCAUAGUAGGUAGGUAUGGUGGCUGUUUUGAGGGAGGCUAUAUGGUGGGUUUUGUGCACCGGCGAAAGUUGCACGGCACUAAAGAAGAUAGUGAUGGUGGAAGGUGAAAGUGCAUCUAAACCAUGGACUCAACAUUAGUCAUGAAGAACUCAUAUACUUGUUGCAAAGGUUUUAGUAGUAAUCGAAACAAAGCAUUCAACGCAUACUCCUAUGGGAAGGGUUGGUAGGUAUAAACCAUCGCGCGAUCCCGACCGCCACACAAAGGAUGACAAUCAAUAGACUAAUCAUGCUCAGACUUCAUCACAUAGCGGUUCACCAUACGUGCAUGCUACGGGAAUCACUAACUUCAACACAAGUACUUCUAGAUCCACAACACCUUACUAGUAUAACUUCAAUAUUACCACAACCACAACUCAAAACUAAUUGAGAUGAAUCAAACUUCUCUAACUAUUCAAUGCAUAUGAAGGUGGAAGUUUUCAUAUCCCUUUGGAUAACUAUCCCUUUUGAGACUACUUUCAUAGCAUAAGACAACUACCAAGCCAUGCGCCGCUGUGCUCUAAAAGAUAUAAGUGAAGCACAUAGAGCAAAAAUCAACUAGCUCAAAAGAUAUAAGUGAAGCACAUGUGAGCUGAAUUGUCUAACCAAAGGAUAUAAGUGAAGCUCGACAAAAUCACGGUGAGUGCAUGUCUCUCUCUCUAGGUGUGCACCAAGGAAGAUUGUGACACAACAAAAAUAAAAGACUCCUACGAUACAAGACGCUCCAAGCAAAACACAUAAGAUGUGGUGAAUAAAAAUAUAGCCCCAAGUAACAUUACCGAUGGAUUGAAGACGAAAGAGGGGAUGCCUUCCCGGGGCAUCCCCAAGCUUAGGCUUUUACGACAUCCUUGAAUCAACUUGGGGUGCCUUGGGCAUCGCCAAGUUUGAGCUCUUGCCACUCUUUAUCUCUUUGUCCAUAAGAACUUCACCCAAAACUUGAAAACUUCACAACACAAAACUUAAACAGAAACUCGUGAUAACAUUAGUAUAAGAAAGCAAACCACCACUUCCUUAGGUACUGUAGCAAACUUAAAUUCCACUUAUGUUGAUGUUGGGUUACUGUAUUUUCAAUCUUCCAUGGCUAAUACCCCCGAUACUAUCCAUAAUUUCAUCAGAAUAAGCAACCAACUCAACAAAAACAGAAUCUGUUAACAACAUACCAGUCUAUAGCAAUCUGUAUACUUCGUAUACUUCUGUUACUUCAAAAAUUAUGAAAAAUUACGGCAGUCUGAAGAAUUUGUGUAGCAAUCAGCAGAAAAAAGAAUCAACUCAAAAUAUCUUACAUAAAAAAAUGAAAAUUCUUUUCGUGAGCCGAAAGUUUCUGUCUUUUCCAGCAUGACCAAACGAUCAUCCCCAAGACUAAUCAUAACGGUUUUACUUGUCACAAACGCAAAAGAAACACAAAAAACACAAUCAUAACAGAAUUAUGAAAUUCUGGAAAACACAAAACAGAAAGAAAAAUGAUAGAUUCGUUGGUUUGCCUCCCAACAAGCGCUAUUGUUUAACGCCCUUAGCUAGGCAUAAGGCGAUGGAAUCACGUAUAGUCAUCUUUGGUGCUCAAACCAUAAGUAGCCCUCAUCAUAGAUUCAUAAGGCAAUCUUAUUUUCUUUCUAGGAAAAUGCUCCAUGCUCUUCUAUAGAGGAUAUUGAAAUCUAAUAUUCCCUUCCUUCAUAUCGAUGAUAGCACCAAUAGUCCUUAGGAAAGGUCUACCAAGAAUAAUGGGACAUAAAGGAUUGCAAUCUAUGUCAAGUACAAUGAAAUUCAGGGGUACAUAGUUCUUAUUUGCAACAAUAAGAACAUCAUUGAUCCUUCCCAUGGGUUUCUUGACAGUAGAAUCUGCAAGAUGCAAAUUAAGAGAACACUCUUCAAUCUCAUGAAAACCAAGAAUAUCACAUUAAGACUUUGGAAUCGCGGAAACACUAGCACCCAAAUCACACAAAGCAUUGCAUUCAUAGUUUUUGAUUUUGGUUUUGUUAGUAGGUUCCCACUCAUCAUGAAGUUUUCUAGGUAUAGAGACUUCGUCAUGAAGAUCCAAGAGAGAGAAGAAGCCAUCUAGCUACUAACUACGGACCCGUAGGUCUGAAGUGGACUACUCAUGAGUCAUUGGAGGGGCGAUGAUGUUGAUGUAGAAGCCCUCCAGCUCCAAAGUCCCCUCCGACAGGGCACCGGGAAGGGUCUCCAGAUGAGAUCUCGCAGAAACGGAAACUUGCAGUGGCGAAAAAGUGUUUUCGUGGAUGCCCUGAUUUUUCUGGGAUUUUAGGGAAUUUAUAGGCCAAAGAGCUAGGGCAGGGGAGCGCCAGCGAGGCCACAAGCCUAGUCCCGCGCCCCCUGGCCGCGGCAAGAGGGCUUGUGGGCUCCCUAUGGGCCUCGUGCCUUGGCCCCCAAGUCCCUCGAUCUUCUUCUGUUCUGGAAAAAAAUAUUUCGGGGAUUUUAUUCGGUUUGGACUCCGUUUCAAAAUCAGAUCUGAAAAAGAGUCAAAAACACACAAAAAACAGGAGCUCACACUUGGGACUGAAUUAAUAAGUUAGUCCCAAAAAAGAUAUAAAAGGUAUAUAAAACAUCCAAAGUUGACAAGAUAACAACAUGAAACUAUCAAAAAUUAUAGAUACGUUUGAGACGUAUCAGCCGCCACCUCUUGUUCUUCAUCUGGAGGGCAGAUCUGGAGUCCGUUCUGGGCUCCGGAGAGGGGAAAUCGUCGCCAUCGUCAUCAUCAACCUUCCUCCAUCGACAAUUCCAUGAUGCUCUUCACCGUUUGUGAGUAAUCUCAUCGGCUUGCUGGGCGAUGGUGAGUUGGAUGAGAUCUAUCAUGUAAUCGAGUUAGUUUUGACGGGGAUUGAUCCCUAGUAUCCACUAUGUUCUAGAUUGAUGUUGCUACUACUUGGCUAUGCUUAAUGCUUGUCACUAGGGCCCGAGUGCCAUGAUUUCAGAUCUGAGCCUAUUAUGUUAUCGCCAAUAUAUGUGUGUUUUAGAUCCUAUCUUGCAAGUUGUAGUCACCUACUAUGUGUUAUGACCCGGCAACCCCGGAGUGACAAUAGCCGGAACCACUCCCGGAGAUGACCAUAGUAUGAGGAGGUCAUGUAUUCACCACGUGUUAAUGCGUUGGUCCAGUUCUUUAUUAAAAGGAGAACCUUAAUAUCCCGUAGUUUCCAUUAGGACCCCACUGCCACGGGAGGGAUGGACAAUAGAUGUCAUGCAAGUACUUUUCCCUAAGCACGUAUGACUACAUACGGAAUACAUGCCUACAUUAGAUUGACGAACGGGAGCUAGUUACUUAUCUCUCCAUGUUAUAGCUAUUACAUGAUGAAUCACAUCCGUCAUACUCAUCCAUCACCGAUCCACUGCCUACGAGUCUUUUACUACUGGUCCUUGCUAUGUUACUUUGUCCAGGCUUGUCCCUUGCUACAAAAGGGAUUGGGCCACUUUGCUGCUACUAGUGUUGCUACUGCUGUUACUCUGCUGCUACUGUUGUUCCUUGCUACUUUGUUGUUACUUGUUGCAAGACCUUUUUCGACACCGUCGUCAGGAAAGAAUAGUUCCUCGCCCACGUGGAACACUGGCGCCAUUGAUACUAUAGUUAGGAAUAGUCUGCCAUCAACAGUUCUAUUUUUGACACUGUUGCUAUCAUACUACUUUGCUACUGAUACUUUUCUUGCAGACACUAAUCUUUCAGGUGUGGUUGAAUCUGACAAACUCAGCUGCUAAUACUUGAGAAUAUUCUCUCGCUUCCCCUUUGGCGAAUCAACAAAUUUGGGUCGAAUACUCUACCCUCGAAAACUGUUGCGAUCCCCUAUACUUGUGGGUCAUCAGAUCGCCAUCGUCUUUUGCAGGGUUGGGUUCUUGAGAAGGAGGCCCAAACAAUUCGUCACCAUACCCAUGUUCGUUGAUGUACUUAUCAAUGUUGAAACUUGUAUCGUCGUCGUCGUCUGGAUCCUGUGCCAUAUGCAUGUUCGGAUCAGCUGACUGCCGUAGCGUUGCGGCGGUCUUGCCAUGGCUUGGCGCCGACACGACUAGCGGUGUUGUCUUUGGGGUGGUGUCCCCCGCCCCCAAACGAAUCUGGCUCUUCGGCCAAAGCAUGGACCGGUUUAAGCAGGCGCUGAGGGUCAUCACAUCAUCUUCGUCGGCCCCAGCGGGUCGAUACGGAGGUAACAAGUCGUCGUAGCCCCGUAGCACCCGAACCAGUUAAACCCUAUACACGGUGGGUGUCAUCGGAUUACCGUGGAACACACGGUUGCCCGGUUCAAUGAUUUUGGCCUUGGCGACAUCGAUCAACUCGCUGUCCAUGAAGUGCAGGAGAGUGCAUGGAACAUUGGCGGCACCCUGUGAAAACAUGUAGGGCAUCAGGGAUGCCCAGUCAAAAAGGCAAGGAGAUGAAGUCAUCGGCCGAGGCUUAGUUACUGUGAUGGUGUCGAGCUCGGCUAAUGUCGAGGCACCGCCAACGGCGGGCAUGCAAGUGACGGAGGGGCCACUUGAUGCCGAGGUGCCGGUCGGUGUAUUCUUCCCACACACGGUGCAUUAACCUCCAAUACCGGCACCGACGCCGGAGGCACCUACAAUGCCGCCUCCGUCGGAGACACCGAUGCCGGCGCAUUGUGCGAGUUGCUGCCCGUGAAGCUGGGAAUCGGGGGCGGCCCCUGUUGGCCGCCCGCAAUCCACCCCUGCAGCCCCUCAAGCAAGGAAGGCAUAAUGGCGGUGAUCGUCGCUCCAAGUUGGUCUCGCACUUGCUCUUGGACUAUCUCCGGAAUCCGCGCCACUUGUGCCUUGAGUUCUUUAACCUCGUGCUCCUGGCUUUCCGAGAUGGUCUUUCUGUCCUUUCGCCCAGCCUUAUAGUAUUCCGACCAUUUCGUGGACAAGCCUUUUCGCCGGCCACACGACCAGCUGACGACGGCUUACUGAGAUUAUCCUUGUGUUUCAUUACAUUCAACGCCCUAUUUAAAGUGUUGUCCCAAGGGGCAGACGGGGAGCUCGGAGACCCUGUGCUACUGCUUUCAGUUUCCUGCGGAAGGAACGUGAACCAUUUAGAAAUUUGGCUUCAUUAAUUAGAAUGCAACCAUAUGGAGCUAACUACGCGGGGGUGUAUUCCUUACCAGAACACGCUGAUGUCUACUACGCAACCUUCUCCUUGUAGACGUUGUUGGGCCUCCAAGUGCAGAGGUUUGUAGGACAGUAGCAAUUUUCCCUCAAGUGGGUGACCGAAGGUUUAUCAAUCCGCAGGAGGCGUAGGAUGAAGAUGGUCUCUCUCAAGCAACCCUGCAACCAAAUAACAAAGAAUCUCUUGUGUCCCCAACACACCCAAUACAAUGGUAAGUUGUAUAGGUGCACUAGUUCGGCGAAGAGAUGGUGAUAGAAGUGCAAUAAGGAUGGUAGAUAUAGGUUUUUGUAAUCUGAAAUUACAAAAACAGCAAGGUAACUAGUAACAAAAGUGAGCACGAACGGUAUUGCAAUGCGUGGAAACAAGGCCUAGGGUUCAUACUUUCUCUAGUGAUGUUCUCUCAACAAUGAUAACAUAAUUGGAUCAUAUAACUAUCCCUCAACAUGCAACAAAGAGUCACUCCAAAGUCACUAAUAGCGGAGAACAAACGAAGUAUACGUGGGCAUGAUUAUACGAUAUGUAUCACACAAUCUCAGAAUCAUCUAUUCAACCAACAGAUAGAACUUCAAAGAGUGCCCCAAAGUUUCUAACGGAGAGUCAAAACGUGUGCCAACCCAUAUGCAUAGGUUCCCAAUGUCAUGAAACCCGCAAGUUGAUCACCAAAACAUACAUCGAGUACUCACAUGAAUAUCCAAAUCUGUGCCAACCCAUAUGCAUAGGUUCCCAAUGUCACAAACCCACAAGUUGAUCACCACAGAUAGACACGUGCAAGACAUACAUCAAGUGUUCUCAAAGACUCAAUCCGAUAAGAUAACUUCAAAGGGGAAACUCAAUUCAUUACAAGUAGGGAGAGGGGGAAGAACAUCAUAAGAUCCAACUAUAGUAGCAAAGCCCGCAGUACAUCGAGAUCAAGACAUCUCAAGAACACGAGAGAGAGAGAGAGAGAGAGAGAGAUCAAACACAUAGCUACUCGUACAUACCCUCACCCCGAGGGAGAACUACUCCCUCCUCGUCAUGGAGAUCGCUGGGGUGAUGAAGAUGGCCACCGGAGAUGGAUUCCCCCUCCGGCAGGGUGCCGGAACGGGCUCCAGAUUGGUUUUUGGUGGCUACAGAGGCUUGCGGUGGCGGAACUCCCGAUCUAGGUUUCGUUUUGGGGGUUUCUCUAUUUAUAGGAAUUUAUGGCGGUGGAAUUACGUCGGUUGGGCCCACGAGGAGGUCACAAGCCUGGUAGAUGUAGCCUAGGGGGGUCGCGCCUCCCGGGCUUGUGACUCCCUCGUGGCUCUUCUGGCCUUCUUCCAAACCUUCAGGGGUCUCUUUUGGUCCAAAAAAAUCAUUGCAAAGUUUUAUUCCAUUUGGACUCCGUCUAAAAAAGGGUCAAAAACACGAAAAAACAGAAACUGGCACUUGACACUGAGUUAAUAGGUUAGUCCAAAAAACAAUAUAAAAUAGCGUAUUCAUGCAUAUAAAACAUCCAAAGUUGACAAGAUAAUAGCAUGGAACCAUCAAAAAUUAUAGAUACGUUGGAGAUGUAUCACACACUCAAGCUCCUUCACCUUCGGAUGCGUGGUAAGCUCCUUUGUUACCGGGUCCACCUUGUACCGGGCCCUGACAUAGUUCAUGGUCUGCUUUUCAUGGUAUUUAUCAAAGAGGGGCGGUAGGCCUUGCUCGGCACGCUCCGCGUCCUCCUUGUCCCAUUUAGAUUCGGCCACUCUGUAACCGCCGGGACCGAGUUUGUGGACCCCUAAGUUCAAGUCCCACAUAUCUUUCCCCACUGACUUGAUUCCACGGAUGUGUUGCUCUCGCACUUGAUCGUGAACUCCAGGUAGUCAGCUUCGCUGAUCGAAGGAUUUGUCUCCUUGAUCUUCUCAUAACUAUCACCUCUUAGAAUCGUUCUCUUCACCGAGGCUCUCCAAGUAGCUAGGGUCGUGCUCAUCUUCGUGAGGGCGGCACUGUUCACGUUAUUCUCUGAGAGGCAUGUGUUUGUGACGUCAUCGGGGAACUUGUAUCAUUCAUGCAGCUUCGUGAAGAGGAGGUUGCGCAAAUUCGCUCGGCCUUGAUGCCUUAGGUUCUCGGUGUUGAUCGAGACGGUGCUCCGGAGAAUGCACCCGAGUUGUCCCGCGUACCCACCGCUAAUUCUUUGGGCGCCGUUGGAUGCCCACUGGAGGACACUUCAGUAAAUUCCUUCCUGACGGUGCCGAGCACGUUCGGGCGCCGGUCCUUCCGUUGCUUCUUCGGUUGGCUGCCAUCUGUGCGUUCGCUGCCAUCAUCAGUGGUGGCAUCCUCGGCGGCACCAUCAGUGGUGUCAUCCUCGACGCCUAGGGGUUGUGUAGUCGGGAUCGGUGUCUUCCGCGGUGUCCUCAUAGUGGUGAGGUUCUUCCUCCAGCUCCUGGGACAGCUCCCAUAAUGGCUUGCCCGAACCGCCGGCCUCAUCGUUGUUGGCCAUGUUCGCUCUAAAUAGGAAAAAAGGCUACUAGAGUUAUUGGAUGAAAUCAGGGUAGUAUCUAUUCUUCUCAGAUUUAGAGUAGCUCCUUAUUUCAUCUAUGGAGUAUUAAGUAAGUACUUGCAUCACAUAUAUAUAACCCCAAUAAAAUGAAACUAUGUUCCCUGCACACAUGAGGUAUGGCUGACAGGGAAAAAUCAAGUAAAGGCGUAUUAAUUUGUGUAUGCAUAACCGUGCAUAUCAACAAGGGAUUGUAUAGGCUUGAGAAAAUCUUACUUUAUCCUUAAAUCAUAUUGAUUAAUGGGCAGAAAAAUCAUAUUGAUUAAUGGGCAUAAAAAUCAUAUUGAUUAAUAAUUAUCUUGCCUCAAAAUGCGAUUUUUCUUUCCUUGGAAGGUACCGUAGAUCUGUAAAAAUGUAAUCAUGUGACUGCACUACUUGAACUACCUCAUGCUCGUCACUGUAUCUGUAGAUGCUUUAAUUCGAUGGUUAAUUUGUAUCGAAAGGUCACAAUUACACUUUCAUGGCCUUGUCCCUGGGCUCAUUCUUGUAUUUUAAAUCAGCAUUCUAUUACUAGGAGUCUAGUAGUGCAUGUAAUUCAAUCAUGCCUGAUACGUCUCCAACGUAUCUAUAAUUUUUUAUAGUUCCAUGCUAUUAUCUUGUCAAACUUUGGAUGUUUUGUAUGCCUUUUAUAUCUUUUUUGGGACUAACUUAUUAACUCAGUCCCAAGUGCCAGUUCCUGUUUUUUCCGUGUUUAUGACCCUUUUCAGAGGAGGAUUUUAAAUGGUGUCCAAACGGAAUAAAACUUCCGAAAAGAUUUUUUCCGGAACAGAAGAUAUGCAUGGGACGUGAGAACCAAGGUAGAGGCCACCAGGUGAGGCCACAAGCCCCCUAGGCGCGGCCAGGGGGCCCGAGCCUAGCAGGCUUGUGGGCCCCUGUGGCUCCUCUGCCCCACCCCUUCCGCCUAUAAAUUCCUUAAAAAUCCAAAACUACGCUCGUCUGCCCUACCUCUUCCGCCUAUAAAUUCCUUAAAAAUCCAAAACUACGAGAGAGAUCCACGAAAAUACUUUUCCGCCGCCGCAAGCUUCUGUCUCCGCAAGAUCCCAUCUGGGGCACGUUCUAGUGCCCUAUCGGAGGGGGGAUUCAGAUACGGAGGGCUUCUUCAUCAACACCAUGACCUCUCCGAUGAUGUGUGAGUAGUUCACCAUAGACCUUCGGGUCCAUAGCUAGUAGCUAGAUGGCUUCUUCUGUCUCUUGGAUCUUCAAUACAAAGUUCUCCAUGAUCUUCAUGGAGAUCUAUCCGAUGUAAUCUUCUUUUGCGGUGUGUUUGUCAAGAUCCGAUGAAUUGUGGAUUUAUGAUCAGAUUAUCUAUGAAUCUUAUUUGAGUUUCUUCUGAUCUCUUAUAUGCAUGAUUUCAUAUCCUUGUAAGUAUCUUUGAGUUGUGGGUUUUGUUUGGCCAACUUGAUCUAUGAUUCUUGCAAUGGGAGAAGUGCUUGGUUUUGGGUUCAUACCAUGCGGUGACCUCACCCAGUGAUAGAAGGGGUAGCGAUGCAUGCAUCAUGUUGUUGCCAUCAAGGGUAAAAACAUGGGGUUUACAUCAUUGGUAUGAGUUUAUCCCUCUACAUCAUGUCAUCUUGCUUAAGGCGUUACUCUGUUCGUCAUGAACUCAAUACACUAGAUGCAUGUUGGAUAGCGAUCGAUGUGUGGAGUAAUAGUAGUAGAUGCAGAAAGUAUCGGUCUACUUGUCUCGGACGUGAUGCCUAUAUGUAAGAUCAUUGUCUUAGAUAUCGUCAUGACUUUACGCGGUUCUAUCAAUUGCUCGACAGUAAUUUGUUCACCCACCGUAAUAUUUGCUAUUUUAAGAGAAGCCUCUAGUGAACACUAUGGCCCCCGGGUCUACUUCACAUCAUAUUUUCAGGCUUACACUUUUUCUUCGUUGCACUUUCUGCCUUCAGAUCUCACUUUGCAAUCAAUCUUGAAGUGAUUAACAACCCCUUUAUAGCAUUGGGUGCAAGCUCGUUUGUGUUUGCGCAGGUACUCUGGACACUCGGCUUGAUUCUCCUACUGGAUUGAUACCUUGGUUCUCAAAACUGAGGGAAAUACUUACUGCUCCUGUGCUGCAUCACCCUUUCCUCUUUAAGGGAAAAACCAACGCAAUCUCAAGAGGCAGCAGAAGGAUUUCUGGCGCCGUUGUCGGGGAGCAUGAAAUCAAGAACUCAUCCAAGUAAGUGUCGCAAACUCAUAUCUUGCAUUUACUUUUUUGCCUCUCGUUUUCCUCUCCCCCACUUCUGAAAAACAAAAAAUUACAAAAAUAUUUGCCUUUUUCGUUCGCCCUUUUCUCUCACUUGCUUUCUGUUCGCUUGUGUGCUUGUUUGCUUGCUGAAGUCACCAUGACUGAAAACACCAAACUUUGUGACUUCUCGAAUACUAAUAAUAAUGAUUUUGUUAGUACUCUGAUUGCUCCCGCCACUAGUGCGGAAUCAUACGAAAUCAAUGCUGCUUUGUUGAAUCUUGUUAUGAAAGAGCAAUUCUCCGGCCUAUCUAGUGAAGAUGUCACAUCCCAUCUUAAUACCUUCAUUGAGCAUUGUGAUAUGCAAAAGAAGAAAGAUGUGGAUAAUGAUGUGAUUAAAUUGAAGCUUUUUCCGUUCUCGUUGCGAGAUCGAGCAAAAACCUUGUUUUCAUCUUUGCCCAAAAAUAGUAUUGAUUCUUGGAACAAGUGCAAAGAUGCUUAUAUAUCCUAGUAUUUUCCGUCGGCUAAGAUUAUCUCUCUCCGUAAUGAUAUCAUGAAUUUUAAGCAACUUGAUCAUGAACAUGUUGCACAAUCUUGGGAGAGAAUGAAAUUGAUGAUUAGAAAUUGUCCCGCUCAUGGCUUGAGUCUUUGGAUGAUUAUACAAAUCUUCUACGCUGGUUUGAAUUUCGCUUCUAGAAAUAUCUUGGACUCUGCCUCAGGUGGAAUGUUCAUGGAAAUCACAUUAGGACAAGCCACCAAACUUCUAGACAAUAUCAUGACAAACUACUCUCAAUGGCACACUGAAAGGUCACCUACUAGUAAGAAGGUACACGCUAUAGAAGAAAUUAACUCGUUGAGUGCUAAGAUGGAUGAGUUAAUUAAAUUGGUUUCUAGUAAAGGUGCUCCUUUAGAUCCUAAUGAUAAGCCCUUGUCUUCCUUGAUUGAGAGUAGCAACGCGAGCUUGGACGUUAAUUUUGUUGGUAGGAAUAAUUUUGGCAACAACAAUGCUUUUAGAGGAAAUCCCUCUAAGAACUUUGGCAACUCCUACAACAAUACUCAUGGAAAUUACAAUAAAUUACCCUCUGAUCUAGAGAGUAAUAUCGAAGAGUUUAUCAACUCACAAAAGAUUUUCAAUGCGUCCAUAGAGGAAAAACUACUCAAAAUUGAUGAUUUGGCUAGGAGCGUUGUUAGAAUGUCUAGUGAUAUUGAUGCUUUGAAAGUUAGAUGUGUUCCUCCCAAGAUCAAUAUGGAUGAAACUUUGAAAGCUAUGCGUGUUUCCAUGAGUGAGAGCAAAGAAAGAACCAUCCAAAUUCGUGCUAGGCGUGAAUGGCUUAAAAAGGCGUGUUCUCGUGAUAAGAAUCACGAAGAUCUUAAAGUGCUUGGUGUGAUUCCGAUUGAAUCUUUGAUUUCUCGUGACAAAUCUAAUGAUGAUGGGGCUGGAUAUGAAUCCACUUUGGUUGAAAAACGCCCCAAUGAUUCGGAUUCCAUCUAUCUUUAUGCUAAAAGCAUUGAAAGUGGAGUAGAAGAUAUUAAAACUUUGAGUAGUAAUGAAACUAGUACUUUGGAUUUCAAUGAAUUCAAUUAUGAUAGUUGCUCCUUUAUUGAAUGAAUUUCCUCAAUGCAAUCCUUGCUAAACUCUCCACAAGCUUAUAGUCAAAACAAGGCCUUUACCGAUGUUAUCGUCGAUGCUAUGAUAAAAUGUCUUGAAGAGAAAAUUGAGUUGGAAGUUUCUAUUCCUAGAAAGCUUCAUGAUGAGUGGGAACCUACUAUCAAAAUCAAAAUCAAAACCUAUGAAUGCAAUGCUUUGUGUGAUUUGGGUGCUAGUGUUUCCGCGAUUCCAAAGUCUUUAUGUGAUGUUGUAGGCUUUAAUGAGAUUGAGGAGUGUUCUCUUAAUUUGCAUCUUGCGGAUUCUACUGUCAAGAAACCCAUGGGAAGGAUCAAUGAUGUUAUUAUUAUUGCAAAUAGGAACUAUGUACCCGUGGAUUUCAUUGUGCUUGAUAUUGAUUGCAAUCCUACAUGCCCUAUCAUUCUUGGUAGACCUUUCCUAAGGACUAUUGGUGCUAUCAUCGAUAUGAAGGAAGGGAAUAUUAGGUUUUUAUUUCCUUUAAAGAAGGGCAUGGAGAAUUUUCCUAGAAAGAAAAUAAGAUUGCCUUAUGAAUCCAUGAUGAGGGCUACUUAUUGUUUGAGCACCAAAGACGACGAUACGUGAUUCUAUCGCCUUAUGCCUAGCUAAGGGCGUUAAACAAUAACGCUUUUUGGGAGGCAACCCAAUGAAUUUAUCUUUUUUCUUUCUGUUUUUUUGCGUCCACACCAUCAUAAUUCUGUUAUGAUUGUGUUUUUUGUGUUUCUUUUUGUGUUUGAGCCAAGCAAAACCUUUAUGACUAGUUUUGGUGAUGGUUGUUUGAUCCUGCUGGAAAAAGACAGAAACAUUUCGCUCACGAAAUUAUUUUUCAUUUUUAUUCAGAAGAGCUUUUGAGUUGAUUUGUUUUGCUGAUGGUUGAUAUGCCUUUUUCCCAGGCUGUAGUAGUUUUUCAGAAUUUUUGAGAUACCAGAAGUAUACGAAGUAUACAGAUUUCUACAGACUGGUCUGUUUUUGACAGAUUCUGUUUUUGUUGUGUUGGUUGCUUGUUUUGAUGAAACUAUGGAUAGUAUCAGGGGGCUACUAGCCAUGGAAAAGUGAUAAUAAAGUAAUCUAACACCAAUAUAAAUAGAAAUCAAGAUUGCUACAGUACCUAAAUAUGUGGUAGUUUGUUUUCUUGUGCUAAUGAUAUCACGAGUUUCUGUUUAAGUUUUUUGUUGUGAAGUUUUCAAGUUUUGGGUGAUGUUCUCAUGGACAAAGGGAUAAAGAGUGGAAAUAGCUCAAGCUUGGGGAUUCCCAAGUCAUCCCAAGCCAAAUUCAAAGACACCAAAAAGCCUAAGAUUGGGGAUGCCCCGGGAAGGCAUCCCCUCUUUCGUCUUCAAUCCAUGAGUAACAUUACUUGGAGCUAUAUUUUUAUUCACCACAUGAUAUGUGUUUUGCUUGGAGCGUCUUGUAUCAUAGGAGUUUUUUCUUUCUUUUGUGUCACAAUCAUCCUUUCUGCACACCUUUUGAGAGAGACAUGCACUCAUCGUGAAUUUGCUAGAAUACUCAUUGUGCUUCACUUAUAUCUUUUGAGCUAGGCAACUUUGCUCUAUGUGCUUCACUUAGAUCUUUUAGAGCACGGCGGUGCGUAACUUGGUAGUUGGCUUGUGCUAUGAAAGUAGUCCCAAAGGUGAUAGGUACCCAAAGAGGAUACAAUAAAACUUCCAUCUUCAUGUGCAUUGAGUAGAAAGAGAAGUUUGAUUCCUCUCAAUUAGUUUUGAGACGUGGAUUCGGUAAUACUAAGAGUUAUGUUAGUAGGGUGUUGUGAAUCUAGAAAUACUUGUGUUGAAGUUAGUGAUUCCCGUAGCAUGCACGUAUGGUGAACCGCUAUGUUAGGAAAUCGGAGCAUAAUUGAUCUAUUGAUUGUCAUCCUUUGUGUUGCGGUCGGGAUCGCGCGAUGGUUAACACCUACCAACCCUUCCCCUAAGAGUAUGUGUUUAGCACUUUCUUUUGAUUACUAAUAAAAACUUUUGCAACAAGUAUGUGAGUUCUUUAUGACUAAUGUGAGUCCAUUGUAUAGAUGCACUUUCACCUUCCACCAUUGCCAGCCUCUCUAGUACCGCGCAAUUUUCACCGGUGCACAAACCCACCAUAUGCCUUCCUCAAAACAGCCACCAUACCUACCUACUAUGGCAUUUUCAUAGCCAUUCCGAGAUAUAUUGCCAUGCAACUCCCACCGUUCCGUCUCAUCACUUGUGCCGUCACUCUCAUAUUGCCAUUGCAUGAUUGUAAGAUAGCUAGCGAGAUGUUUCAACGUCAUACGCCAAGCUAGAUCGUUGCACAUCCCGGUACACUGCCGGAGGCAUUUCCUAUAGAGUCAUCAUCGUUCUAAGCUUUGAGCUGUGAGUAAAUAAAAGUGUGAUGAUCAUCAUUAUUAGAGCAUUGUCCCAUGUGAGGAAAUAAAAAAAAGCGGCCAAAGUUGCCCACAAUAAAAAAAGGAGAGAAGAUAAAAAAAGAGGCCAAAGAGCCCAAACAAAAAAGAGAGAGAAAAAGAGAGAAGGGACAAUGCUACUAUCUCUUUCCACACUUGUGCUUCAUAAUAGCACCAUGUUCUU